Molecule: ribosomal RNA, 465 nt
Filed under: Vreelandella stevensii
Lineage: Bacteria; Pseudomonadati; Pseudomonadota; Gammaproteobacteria; Oceanospirillales; Halomonadaceae
Description: partial 16S ribosomal RNA
Rfam family: Bacterial small subunit ribosomal RNA
Source: RNAcentral
CCUACGGGAGGCUGCAGUGGGGAAUAUUGGACAAUGGGGGCAACCCUGAUCCAGCCAUGCCGCGUGUGUGAAGAAGGCCCUCGGGUUGUAAAGCACUUUCAGUGAGGAAGAACGCCUGGUGGUUAAUACCCAUCAGGAAAGACAUCACUCACAGAAGAAGCACCGGCUAACUCCGUGCCAGCAGCCGCGGUAAUACGGAGGGUGCGAGCGUUAAUCGGAAUUACUGGGCGUAAAGCGCGCGUAGGUGGCUUGAUAAGCCGGUUGUGAAAGCCCCGGGCUCAACCUGGGAACGGCAUCCGGAACUGUCAAGCUAGAGUGCAGGAGAGGAAGGUAGAAUUCCCGGUGUAGCGGUGAAAUGCGUAGAGAUCGGGAGGAAUACCAGUGGCGAAGGCGGCCUUCUGGACUGACACUGACACUGAGGUGCGAAAGCGUGGGUAGCAAACAGGAUUAGAUAGCCUGGUAGUC